This 251-nucleotide ribosomal RNA is filed under the name uncultured bacterium. Its description in RNAcentral is "partial 16S ribosomal RNA". It matches the Rfam family "Bacterial small subunit ribosomal RNA", at positions 525 to 775 of the family's 1533-position model. The record is from RNAcentral.
ACGUAGGGGGCAAGCGUUAUCCGGAUUUACUGGGUGUAAAGGGAGCGUAGACGGUGUGGCAAGUCUGAUGUGAAAGGCAUGGGCUCAACCUGUGGACUGCAUUGGAAACUGUCAUACUUGAGUGCCGGAGGGGUAAGCGGAAUUCCUAGUGUAGCGGUGAAAUGCGUAGAUAUUAGGAGGAACACCAGUGGCGAAGGCGGCCUACUGGACGGUAACUGACGUUGAGGCUCGAAAGCGUGGGGAGCAAACAG